Molecule: small RNA, 28 nt
Filed under: Bombyx mori (domestic silkworm)
Lineage: Eukaryota; Metazoa; Arthropoda; Insecta; Lepidoptera; Bombycidae
Description: ovarian small RNA-9739
Source: RNAcentral
UUGCUUAAGAGCGUUUGUGCUUAAGGUA